AACUUCGUAGUGUAGUGGUCAGCACGCUCGGCGCGUAUUCGAGAGGUCCGUGGUUCGAAUCCCGGCGAGGGCA
Non-coding RNA from Stegodyphus mimosarum, 73 nucleotides. The record is from Rfam. Lineage: Eukaryota; Metazoa; Arthropoda; Arachnida; Araneae; Eresidae.